This 337-nucleotide ribosomal RNA is filed under the name uncultured bacterium. RNAcentral describes it as "bacterial SSU rRNA". It matches the Rfam family "Bacterial small subunit ribosomal RNA", at positions 29 to 346 of the family's 1533-position model. The record is from RNAcentral.
AGCGAACGCUGGCGGCGUGCUUAACACAUGCAAGUCGAGGGAGAACGGCGGGCUUCGGCCUUCCUAGUAAACCGGCGCACGGGUGAGUAACACGUAGGUAACCUACCUUCGAGACUGGGAUAACCCAUCGAAAGAUGAGCUAAUACCAGAUAUGACCACGGGAGUUUCGGCUUCUGCGGUGAAAGAUGGCCUCUGCUUGCAAGCUAUCACUCAAAGAUGGGCCUGCGCGCCAUUAGCUAGUUGGUGGGGUAACGGCCACCAAGGCUACGAUGGCUAGUUGGUCUGAGAGGAUGACCAGCCACACUGGGACUGAGACACGGCCCAGACUCCUACGGGA